GACAUUGUCAAAGCAGAUCUUUAUUGUCAUAAACAAUUCAUAUACAAAUUCAAACGUUUAGCUUUUUUCAUAGGCAGUAGAGCUGAGUGCAUGAAGCUAAGAACUUUCCAUCUUUAUAUUAACUUUAUACAUGUUGCCUACUUGGCAUAAUUCUGGCAGCAUAAUAUAGAAACCUGUAGAAAUCACUAAGUGCUUGAAAACUAAAGACAUAAACCAAGAGAAAGUGAAUGGAAUAAAUAAAGAGUGAUUCUUUGCAAAUAGUUGAAUAUUAAACUGCACAGUGGAUUGGCUAUUCUGGAACUCCAAACCAAAAGCUGGCUGAGAUUGCUGAGAGUUGUCAGUUUAUAAAUUGCUUGCAACGCAUAACACUCGGUUUGCUUACAGAAUACAUUUUAAGAAAAUGGUGAUGAAAUAGAGUACACACUACAGCCAUGUUAUAUGAUGUGAGCAGAAGACAAACAGCAGGUAAGAACUUGAUGUACUACAUCCUAUGAGUCAUCCUGCACUGCUUUAAAAUUAGCAAAUGAAGUAUGAGCAGUGAGCUGAUGACAGACAAUUUCUUAUCCAUGGUAAUUUAAAGCACUAGACUAGACCAACCUCUAACACACUGGACAUGAUUAAAGAGACAUUCUAGGCAUCAAAAAGAAUGCAGUUGCCCCCUAAGAAUACACAAACCAACCAAUAGGAAUGGUGGAAAAUGCAAACUGGACUGAACCUGAACGACAAGGGUAGGAUCUUCGUUAUCACCCAAAAUUGCGAACUGAAAAUCUGUAACAAACGUUUGACACAGUCAUAACAGUAUAUGUUCCACCCAAUACACAAAAAAUAUAAAGAUCGCUCUCUCUUUUCUUAAAGACACAAGAGUAAUGUAAAUGAUAUGGUACCCCACCCCAACCCUAAGAUCAAAAACCAACAAGAACAGAGAAUGCAUUUACAUGCAAUGUAGAAAAGAUGAAACCAAUGUAGAAAGUCUUGAGCGUCAGCUCAAAAUGUUCGACUACUGUAAUCAGCACAUGUAUGUUCAGAGAAUAUUGUACCAUAAAAGUUACCCCCCUGUCUUCCUUUCUGUAUCCCCACCCCACAAUGAUCUUUUCCAAAAAUAGAGAAUUAAAAAAAAAAAAAAUGCAGUUGCUAGUGCGUCAUACAGAAUAACUGCAACGUCUUGAACAAGUGAAUGGAAGCUGUGCUCAGGAACAUUACUGAGCACAGACCUGCGUGUUGAUAGACCCGCGCAUGCAUUCUACCAUUCUCCCAUACAAAUCUAUAGGAGGGAAAGGAGUGGUUGACAAAUCAGUGUCAUUUCCUGGUUUAAGUGGAUGUCAGUUGAGUAGGAUCAGAGCGGAGAGAUUUGCUAAAAAACCGCGACAUGUAAAGGUAGAAUUUAUUAAUUUGUGUGUCUUUUAAAGAUUUAACAUCUAAAGAUACAGAAAAUGUUCACAAAAGGUCACCACCUCGUCCAUGGCAGUUUAAAGCAGGUUGUUAAUAUAAGAUCAUGAGCUUAGGCUUAAGUCAACAGAUGUCUACUACACCAUUGAAUGUUGUAACAGAACUUGAAAAAUAUCACUAAUGUUCACUAGUCAGGGGAAAAUAUUACCAGCCAAAUGUUACACAUACUGAAAGAUAUGCCAUAUUUUUCAUCUUGCCACUGACCCAUAGAAAUGUCUUCAUAUUUCUACAUUUCUUUUUGUCUUUCCUAUUAUAUCUGGAAUUGCAGUGUGCGUGCCUGCAAUAAUAGAACUGGAAUUGAUAUGUGUGUGUGCAGCAGGAUCUCUGGCUCGGUAUUGGAUACUGUGGAUUUGCAGCAGACGUACAGGAUGUAGGGUAUAUACAUUCGGGGCAGCUGGAACUAUUACAGGAGAUUUCCUGCCAAAAUCAGCCGAGUAAUGCAAAGCCAACUAGUGCAUGGAAAAUCAUCAUGGGAACCUAAAAUCGAACCAUUAUAUCGCAUGCAAACCAUGAGUCACAGACUAAAAUCAAAUAUUAAUAGCAUCAAAACAUUUUAAGAGGAAAUUCAAAGCAGAAGCUGUUUAUCUUUAUAAAUGCCAGGUGAAUCACGAAGUAUCUCCUUGAAUUUCAGCCUGUUGAUCUUUCUAGUACUAACGAGUUAAAUGAAAUCAGAAUGUGUGGAUACACUGAUUAUAAACCUUUAGCAGGGUGUAAAAAGUCAGAAAUGGGGUCAGUCAGACUGGAACAAAGGCCUAGGGAUUUCAAAGUCCCUCAGCCCAUUCUCACACUUCAGCGUGUACAUUGUUCAAGUGUAAAACCCAUAAACUGAUGAACCUUAACAAUUGGUUAUAAAUGUAUUUAUUAGCUAGAGAACUAGCUAGGAAAUUGCUAAAAUUUUAAUAAAAUAAUCCUGCUCAGUUCAAUGUUUUAAACUCUACUAUUUUUGCCUAAAUCCUCCUAUCUUUACAACAAAGGUCACUGUGUCAAAACCCAUUAUUCACCAGCAUUCAUCAGUAAAAAGCGGUAUUAAAAUAAAACAUCACUUUGUAAAAUAUAUGACUACAUACAAAAGUAAUGUUAGUUUUCUAAUAUUGACAUGAAUUACCAGACAUUACCCGCUGCUGUGUUACCCCUUUUUUACACAUCACGUGGUAAUUUAUGAAUCUACACACACAUCUAACUGGAAUAAGGUAGAUAUGUAUGUUGACUAUAUUAAAUAUUCUGUGUAAGUACGAGACUUAUAACAAAAUCGACUGAAAGUAAAAGUUAAGUAAAACCAUGUUUUUCGAUACAAGGGCCUACAAAAGACAUUCAAGAAUGUGUAUAGUUGUACACUAUUCUUAUUAUUAUUAUUGCCAUUUAUAUAGCGCCAACAGAUUCCUUAGCACUUUACAAUAUUAUGAGAGGGGGGGAUUUAACUAUAAAUAGGACUAAAAACUAAAUGUGUUUCUAUGCCCUACCCUUCUCUAGGCCUCCCAACAGUUCUGCAUUUGGUGGAACAGUACCAAUUUUGGAGUCCUGUCCCGCGCUCCUGCUUUAGUUCCCUGGUGCCCUGCAUCUGGGCACGGAACUGUCCCUGGUCAGCAUAGAGAAUGUGCAUCAUUUAAUGCUUUUGUGCUGUGUAGCUGCCCUAGGCCCAUGUAGGGAUCUAUUCCCACAUUGUCCUGAAGGCUAGGAGCCGGUUAUUCAGUGAGCAUGCCUGCACCUUUUAUUGGGCAUGCCCACCCAUUAACGGCAUUGCUAGUGACGUAACUAUUACCCCUUACUGAUAGUUGGAAGGUAUGUUCUCCCAUCCUAGGUUCGAGACAGUAAUUUUAUAUUGUCAGUCCCAAAUUUAACAUACCAUAUCUGCAUUUCUAUCAACUUAUUGCCUCCCAUUAUGCCAUGCCAUUCAUUUCAUACACAUUUUCACCCACCCACCUCAUGCCCCUACCUGACAGUUUUUUUAUGCCACCUAUGUCAUGCUUAUCCAUUGCUGUCAUUCAUUUGCCAUUGCUUAUUUCACCCAAUGGCAAAUCAGGGCCUGCUAAAAAUACCUCUGCACUCUGACAUAUAACCAGGUCCAAAUUUACUCUCUGUUGCUUACGCCAUGAUUUGGAGGAUGCAUAAGGAGUCAGAAAGUACAUAUCUCACUUUCCUCAUCCAAAAAACAAAAACACAGCAAAUACAAUUACUAUAUAGCAAAAUAAAAAUAUUUCAAAACUAAUCUAAAAAGGAAAAAAAAUUACAUUUGAUGUCAAGAUAAAUGUGCCUAGUACACAGGCUACUGUAGGCAGCUGCCCACUGGCAUUAUGUUAUUAAAGAAGUAAAAUGAAUACAUUUAAUGAAACUCAUUGUGAUGAUGUCAACCUAUACAAACUUUUAAAUGCUAAAGCAUUAUCUACAAUAUUAAAUGAUGUCAUAUAUGGACUUCCACAAAAUGUCAUUCAAAACCUCUACUUGUACACUGUGCAUAAAGCAUCCUAAUUCUUGAGAGGUUUGGAACUCUAGAAAUCAUUGUUUUCAUCAGGAUACUUAUCAUACUCCCCCCCACCCCCCUUUUUUUUACUGCUAUUUUUAAUUAGUUGACACAGUGGUUUAUUGUUCUCAUUGAAACCACAUACCUCCCAACAUUGCUAAGUAUGGAUUCGUAAUAUGGUGUGCGCACACUGUGCAACCCUCGGACUGUUUACUGUUGUGCCCGGAUGUGGGACACCAGAGAAAUAAAUUGUGAUGACGAAAUUAGGACAUGUUCGGGGGCAUGAUAAUGUGUUCAUCUUAUGUGCAGAAACAAAUACUAGCAUCAUAUAUUUAGAUAGAGAUAUACAUUUCCUUCCAUAGUGAACUAAACAUCGGGAUUUGCGUGUACAAGAUUAGGGGGAAAAAAAGAAUAUAUAUACGAAAAUCAUCUCUAUAGCAUCAAGAUUACAGUCAUCUAACACCUUUCAUUUUAACUGUCGAAUACACACCCAACCAUUUAGUACAACUGUCAAACAUUAAUUGUUUUAUAUUAAAGGGGCUUUCCUUUUAUUAAACUUUGCAAUAGAGUGCACUUCUCUUCAGGGCCAUAUGUCAAUGAAUUGAUUGCAUUAAUUAUUAAUUGUUCAUUCGGCAGAGCAGAGCAGUAAUAUUAGACAUUAAAUACUCUUCAAUUGCAGUUGCUAUAAAGAAGUGUUAAGUGCAGAUGACGAAUUAGAGAGUAUUUAUAACAUACAAUGAUAGGAUAUGUGUGAAGAUAAUGCAAUUUGCUCUGUAAUGAGGAAUAAAAGACACAAAAAUGUCAUUUGUGCCAGUGGCAUGUACAUAAAACUGGUUAAUUUGCUUUUACAUUUGAUGCAGACAGUGGAGCCUAAACCUGGUGAAUUUAAAUGAAUCAAAAGAAAAAAAAAAUCCGUUCAUGAAUGCUUUACCAGUUCUAAAUGCACAUUUCCAUUUCUUGUAUUAUAUUACCUGCUUCUUGUGCUUCAAUAAGCCAAGUUGGCACUUUUAUACAGCCCUGUAAAGCAAAGUGAAAAUGAUAUUGCUUGUAUAAUUCCAGGGGAACAUUCCAUAUUUUGAGAUUCCAUUUACUAGGUCACAUGGGCUCUCACUCUUUGCACUUUCAUUGAAUACAUGAUACCAGUGGAUCUUAACUGGGUUUUUUUGUUUUGUUUUUUUACAGGGUCCAAAUUAUUUACAUGGCAUUAGCCUGGUGAUCCAUUUUUAAAAAAGCUAAAAUUAUCUCUUUCCCCUUCCUUUCCUCGGUGAAGGCACUUUCAUUACCGUAAACAAUUUAUUGUGGGCAGUUGCCUGGGUGCUGACAAAUAUGAGGUGUCUAUUCAAAGCAUUACGGACCCACUGGAAUGACUUGAGGACCUGGUUUGUGUCCUGUCUCUGGGGGAUAAGAUUACUGCGUUACAUUGACCAAAAUGAAACAUUAUUACAGAGACUAAAGCAAUACUUUUUAAUGUACCUGCCCACUUUUAAGGAUUUAGGCUGGCAGAGGGCCUCAUUGAGAAGCAACACUGCUAAUUUAGGGUGUCCUCUUGGCUGGCAUUCACUCAAAGCUGUGUGCACCAAUGACAUCACUGACGUGAACGCAUAGUUAUGCGCCGUCACAUUAUCCUGUAUCACUCCUGCAAGUUACCAAAAGGGUAAAACUCCACUGAAAUAAGUUUAACAUAAAGACAAAUAAUAACUAAACUUUACACAUAAAUCCAGCCACAUGCAAUCUUUACACAUAUAUACACACAGUAACAGAUUGACUCUUCUGGACUUAAAGUAUAUUUAAAACAAAAUGUUUAUUGAAAAAAGUAAACGUAGAUGUAUAUAUUACGCAGACCACGAUAUUGUGCACAAAUCUGCCAUAAGCAAUCACCGAUUACUUGGCUCAUAAAGUGUACCCAUACAACUUCCUUCUGGUGAGGAGGUGAACCUCCUGAGUUCAAGGAGGCUGUAUGGUGACACUUUAUGGGCUAAGCAGGUGAUUAUUGAAGGCAGAUUAUUGCACAAUGUGGUCUAUGCUAUAUAUACACCCAUUUUUACGUUUUAAAUAAACAUUAUGUUUUAAAUCUACUUUGAAGUCCAAGAGAGUCGAUCUUUGGUUUUUCUGUUGCUUGGCCAAACGCUUGCCACUGUGUUUAAAUUGACUCUAGGACACCACUUCAAUUUUAAUACAUGCAAAAAUGGAACCUGUGUGAAACAACCCAAGUACGGGGGAGCACAUUUUUCUAUGUUUGCAUAACCACACAUUACACAUACACAUACAAACAAUGCUAUAUUUUGUAUAUGUAAUCACACAUACAUUAUGCAGUCACUCAUGUAUACACAGACACACAACAAUUAACACACACAUUGCAUUUGCAUACAUAUUUACAUAUAUGUCUGCAAGGGACAUGCUAGCAUAGUAUGUGCGGUUCAGGCCAUUAAGGGGAAACAGUUUGCUUGCCCCAGAAUAUUCUUUGGCCUGUUAGUUAAUCAUAUAGAUAGGUCCAUAGAAGAUUCAAUUAGAAGAAGAAAAAAGAGUGGAUGGAAGGAGCAGCAAUAUGUGCUUAAAUGGAAACUCUCAGUUCUAAUAUUCAUUUUUUUUUUUUUUUUUAAUUCUUUAUUUUUGGUGCGUUUUCGUUUUUACACGAUCACGUCCGGCCCCAACAGCCAGGACGGACACUGUAAUUAUAAUGCAGAGUAACAAGGUUGGUAACGGGUUAGUUAACAAAACAUCUUAGGAAACAUUCGCACAUUUUGUUUUUACAUGGGAGUACUAGUAGGUUUUGUUGUAGCAUUGUGUUAAGUUAUGAGUGCGUUGGUGAGGGGAGCAUGUGGGUAACCAAUGUGUUAG
This is a non-coding RNA of Pelobates cultripes (western spadefoot toad), 6742 nucleotides long. Lineage: Eukaryota; Metazoa; Chordata; Amphibia; Anura; Pelobatidae. The record is from the annotation of a GenBank genome assembly.